Molecule: long non-coding RNA, 3094 nt
Organism: Syngnathus typhle (broad-nosed pipefish)
Lineage: Eukaryota; Metazoa; Chordata; Actinopteri; Syngnathiformes; Syngnathidae
Exons: 2
Source: RefSeq, a predicted model, not a curated record
GCACGAGCAGGGCGUGGCUGCCAAAAGUAGAAAAGGUGAAUUCCUCCCAGUCCGUCCCAUACAUCAAAGUACACCCUCAACAAUGCUGGCUUAAGAAGAGCCAUCCCAAUCGGCGUUAAGAAUUGGGGCGGCCCAUGCACCAUGCAAGUCGGCGACAGCAUCAGCAGCAGCGAGGCACAAGAACUCGAGGAGCAGCACAAGUGAAAGCGUCAUCUUGGGGUUCAGCAUUGCAGACGAUCUCUCUCCAAGCAGGCGCGGAGUCCGCAACAAGUCUUGGCGGCGGCAGGUAGGUAGGUAGGUAGGGCACAAGGCGGACGCAGUCAGGCAGCUGGCAGCGAGCAAGUGAUGGCUGCUCCGCCCGCCGUACCCUGCAAGAUCACGAUCCGCACGUCACAUACAGCAAACGUCAGCAAGCGGCUUUGACACGCAGGGGACACUUUGAGCCUUUUGCUUUCAAAUUUUGCAAAGCGUGUGCGGAGGGGGCCCCCGGCCACCUGACGUGACGUUUGGCGUCCUCUUUGCAUGACGCGGCGAGCGUCAGUGACACGCAGGCGGCUUCUUCCAGCAAAUCCCGCAAACAGCGCCUUUUGGAUGCGAGAGAACCCCGUUUCCAAUCGUUUCUUUCAAACAGCGUUGCCUUCCUUUCUCUCCGUUAUUUCUCCAAGAGCAAAAGUCUCGCAGGUCUCGCAGAGUUCAAAUGCCCGCAUGUUCCGAUUCGUGCUGCGUCAUCAUUGACACGGCCGCCACUUUAAAGACAAAGGCGAACAACAAGCACGUAUAGGUGACGAAUCGUAGGCAAGCCCAUUUUGGAAGUCAAUGCAAUUGUUUUCAACUCAAAUGAAAGGCAACAACAAGGUUUUUGGCAACUGGUUAUAGUGCAAAGGGCAACGGGUUUGACACCAAGUUGCGCAAGUGGCUUUUGAUCAUAUAAACACAUGCUUUUGUUCUUUUUUUUUUUUUUACUUUCAAAUAUUUCACGAUACAUUGAAUGGGCUAAAUAGCUCAUUUUAUUUGUUGUUUUUUUUCUCCUGUAAUCCUGUAAAUACUCUGGGAUUUUUUGAUUGCUCUCCAGUCUACAGGCCUGGGUUUGUCCACCUUCAACCUAUGGAGGGAUAGUUAUAUUGUGGUUGACAAAUUCAAUGACAAGGGCUCAUUUAAAAUAUUUUAGAGCAUAAGUACACAGUAAUCAGGGCCGGACUGGGAGAUUUUUUUCAGGCCAGGAAUCAGUAACCAGGCCACCCUGGCCUUGCCCACACGUGCAUGUUCACACCCACACUUAAAUGCUUGGGCACAAGCAAAACGCAUUUGUGCGCACACAUGCACACAAUCAUUCUUUGGGGUUUUGUUGUGGGUGGUACCGUAAAAAAAACAAUCAAAAUCUCUAGAAUGAGGACAAGCAAACUACGCCAAAGGUCUCUCUGAUUCUGUCUUUCUGCCUGCCUGCCUGCCUGCCUGCCUGCCUGCCUGCCUGCCUGCCUGCCUGCCUGCCAGCCAGCCAGCCAGCCUGCCUGCCUGCCUGCCUGCCUGUCUGUCUGUCUGUCUGUCUGUGUCUUGAGUUGGUCUUUCCCUUGCACUGCUCCCUGUACUUGUCUUGGCAGUAUACUCGGCAUCUGCUGGGAGUGUCAGAACAACCAGCAUCACCAAGGGCGACGAGACUCAAUACAGGUUGGAGGUUGACCAUCUGACCGCGUGGUGCAGGGACAACAACCUCCUGCUGAACGUCAACAAGACCAAGAAGAUUGUUGUUGACUUCCGGAAGGGUCACACCCAACACUUGCCGCUGACCAUCGACGGUGCUGCGGUGGGGAGAGUGAGCAGCACCAAAUUCCUGGGGGUGCACAUCAGUGAGGAUCUCUCCUGGGCCGCAUCACUGGCAAAGAAAGCUCAGCGCCGCCUGUACUUCCUGCGGAAACUCAGGCGAGCAAGUCCUCCUCCAGCCGUCAUGACUACAUUCUACCGUGGCACCAUUGAGAGCGUCUUCUCCAGUUGUAUCCCUUUUUGGGGUGGUAGCUGCACUGAAGACAACAUGAAGGCCCUGCAGCGCAUAGUGAACACGGCUGGUAAGAUUAUUGGUGCUUCACUCCCCUCCCUGAAGGACAUUUACACCUUCGUCUCACCCACAAGGCGACCGCGAUUGUGAGUGAUGUGAGUCACUCCGCUCACUCUUUGUUUGAUCUUCUGCCCUCUGGGAAGAGGUACAGAAGCCUGCACCCCCUCACCACCAGACUCACCAACAGCUUCAUACUCCAGGCUGUUAGGAUCCUGAACUCUCUCCCCCCCCUUCUGCGUAGCGUCCUGUACUUUUGCGCUAUAUUCUGACUGUCUGCUGUAUGCGCACUUGCUCCAUUUUUGCUCCUCUUAUUUAUUAUGUUAUUUGUUUAUUUAUUAUUUAUUCAUCACUCUUAUUUAUUCAUUGUUUGUGCCUUCUUGUUUUUAUUUUUCUGGUGUUGUUUACUUCUAUGUAUAUUGCGUGCGUACUAUGUCUCGUCACCGUGGGAUAGUGGGAACGUUGUUUAGAUUUCUUUGUGUGUCUUGGCGUGUGAAGAAAUUGACAAUAAAGCAGACUUUGACUUUUUGACCUUCAGUAAAAUACACCAUAGAAUCAAAAAUAAAUAAAUAAAUAAAUGAAUACCUGACACAAUGAUCUAUUGACAGCUCUAAUGAACAUCUGCUGACAGUGUCUGACACAUUUGAGUUGCAAAUAUGAAAAAAACAUCUGAGAAAAAUCUGAAAGAAGAAACACAUUACAGAGCAUUAGAAACAUUUUGUUUCAUCCGUAACAUCUGGAGACACCAGAGCUUUAUAAACUUCAACAUUGUCGGAAAAAAUAACAGCUUGUUCUUAGAAAAAGAUUCCCUCACAGCGGGGAUACAACGUUCAACUUUGUAGAAUUUCACUUGUCUCUGUGGGGAUGUACUGUAUGGUCUGACAGACAUGCAACAUAGUAUAUGGCAAUAAUGUCCAAAGUCCGGCCCGCGGGCCAAAUCCGGCCCCCGAUCAGAUUUCAUAUGGCCCGCAGCUUCGGUCUUAUAAUGUAUUAUUUAUGGACCGCCUGCACUGUCAAACUGAAUAUAUAUAUAAAAAAAAAAAGAAA